This 491-nucleotide ribosomal RNA is filed under the name uncultured bacterium. RNAcentral describes it as "partial 16S ribosomal RNA". It matches the Rfam family "Bacterial small subunit ribosomal RNA", at positions 29 to 507 of the family's 1533-position model. The record is from RNAcentral.
GUGCACGCUGGCGGUAGGCCUCACACCUGCCAGUCGAACGGCAGCACAGUAAGAGCUUGCUCUUACGGGUGGCGAGUGGCGGACGGGUGAGGAAUACAUCGGAAUCUACUUUUUCGUGGGGGAUAACGUAGGGAAACUUACGCUAAUACCGCAUACGACCUACGGGUGAAAGCAGGGGAUCUUCGGACCUUGCGCGAUUGAAUGAGCCGAUGUCGGAUUAGCUAGUUGGCGGGGUAAAGGCCCACCAAGGCGACGAUCCGUAGCUGGUCUGAGAGGAUGAUCAGCCACACUGGAACUGAGACACGGUCCAGACUCCUACGGGAGGCAGCAGUGGGGAAUAUUGGACAAUGGGCGCAAGCCUGAUCCAGCCAUACCGCGUGGGUGAAGAAGGCCUUCGGGUUGUAAAGCCCUUUUGUUGGGAAAGAAAAGCAGCAGGUUAAUACCCCGCUGUUCUGACGGUACCCAAAGAAUAAGCACCGGCUAACUUCGUG